GACGAACGCUGGCGGCGUGCUUAACACAUGCAAGUCGAACGGAAAGGCCUCUUUCGGGGGGUACUCGAGUGGCGAACGGGUGAGUAACACGUGAGUAACCUGCCCUUGACUUUGGGAUAACUUCAGGAAACUGGGGCUAAUACCGGAUAGGAGCUCCUGCUGCAUGGUGGGGGUUGGAAAGUUUCGGCGGUUGGGGAUGGACUCGCGGCUUAUCAGCUUGUUGGUGGGGUAGUGGCUUACCAAGGCUUUGACGGGUAGCCGGACUGAGAGGGUGACCGGCGGCAUUGGGACUGAGAGACGGCAGAGACUCGUACGGGAGGGAGAAGUGGGGAAUAUUGCAGAAUGGGUGGAGGCCUGAUGAAGAAGCGCCGUGGGCGGGAUGACGGCCUUAGGGUUGAAGAACGAUUUCGCUCAUGACGAAGCUUUGUGUGACGGUAGUGGGUAAAGAAGCAACGGCUAACUACGUG
RNAcentral lists this ribosomal RNA (467 nucleotides) under uncultured bacterium. RNAcentral describes it as "partial 16S ribosomal RNA". It matches the Rfam family "Bacterial small subunit ribosomal RNA", at positions 28 to 507 of the family's 1533-position model. The record is from RNAcentral.